GUUCAUUCCUGAACAUAGACUAAAAUUGGAACAAUACAGAGAAGAUUAGCAUAGCCACUGCGCAAUGAUGACAUGCAAAUUCGUAAGUGAUCACCUCCGAUU
Molecule: non-coding RNA, 102 nt
Organism: Oesophagostomum dentatum (nodular worm)
Lineage: Eukaryota; Metazoa; Nematoda; Chromadorea; Rhabditida; Strongylidae
Source: Rfam